GUUUGGAGAAAAUAUACAGUCUGACCUGCCCACUGAGUUGUUAAAGGGCCGCGGUAUCUGAACCGUGCUAAGGUAGCAUAAUAAAUAGUCUUUUAAUUGGGGUCUAGUAUGAAUGGUCGGACAGGGGGCAAGCUGUCUUGGUUAUAAAGUUUGAAUUUUACUUUUAAGUGAAAAGGCUUAGAUUAGAUGGUGGGACGAUAAGACCCUGUGAAGCUUUAACAUGUGGGUCGUAAGUUGGAGAAAUUAGGGUGUUCUGUUCUUAUCGGCUAGGGUGUUUCGUUGGGGCGACGGAAAUAUAAAUAGUAACUGUUUUUUUUGGAAAAUAGAUCUUUUUAGGUGACUUGAUCCUUUGUUAGGAUUAUAAGAAUAAAGUUACUUCAGGGAUAACAGCGUAAUUUUUCUUGAGAGUUCAUAUCGACAGAAGUAGUUGCGACCUCGAUGUUGAAUUAAGGUGUCCUUAAGGUGUAGCAGCUUUGGGGGUGGGUCUGUUCGACCUUUAAAGC
Molecule: ribosomal RNA, 503 nt
Filed under: Caridina longicarpus
Lineage: Eukaryota; Metazoa; Arthropoda; Malacostraca; Decapoda; Atyidae
Description: partial 16S ribosomal RNA
Rfam family: Bacterial large subunit ribosomal RNA
Source: RNAcentral